Molecule: ribosomal RNA, 1313 nt
Filed under: Galianora sacha
Lineage: Eukaryota; Metazoa; Arthropoda; Arachnida; Araneae; Salticidae
Description: SSU rRNA
Rfam family: Eukaryotic small subunit ribosomal RNA
Source: RNAcentral
AUGCCGUAUUAAGGCGAAACCGCGAAUGGCUCAUUAAAUCAGUUAUGGUUCCUUGGAUCGUACCUUUCUACUUGGAUAACUGUGGCAAUUCUAGAGCUAAUACAUGCAGCAGAGCUCCGACCUUCGUGGACGAGCGCUUUUAUUAGACCAAAACCGAUCGGACUCUGUCCGUCUCUUGUGGUGACUCUGUAUAACUUUGGGCUGAUCGCACGGGCCCGUCCCGGCGACGUAUCUUUCAAGUGUCUGCCUUAUCAACUUUCGAUGGUAGGUUACGCGCCUACCAUGGUCGUAACGGGUAACGGGGAAUCAGGGUUCGAUUCCGGAGAGGGAGCCUGAGAAACGGCUACCACAUCCAAGGAAGGCAGCAGGCGCGCAAAUUACCCACUCCCAGAACGGGGAGGUAGUGACGAAAAAUAACGAUACGGGACUCUUUUGAGACCCCGUAAUUGGAAUGAGUACACUCUAAACCCUUUAACGAUGAUCCAUCGGAGGGCAAGUCUGAUGCCAGCCGCCGCGGUAACUUCAGCUCCGAUAGCGUAUAUUAAAGUUGUUGCGGUUAAAAAGCUCGUAGUUGGAUCUCAGUUCCAGACGGGUGGUCCUCCUACCGGGGGUUACUGCCUGUUCUGAACAGCCAGCCGGUUUCUCUUGAUGAUCUUCACCGGUUGUCUUGGGUGACCGGCAAGUUUACUUUGAAAAAAUUAGAGUGCUCAAAGCAGGCGUGACGCCUGAAUAAUGGUGCAUGGAAUAAUGGAAUAGGACCUCAGUUCUAUUUUGUUGGUUUUCGGAACACGAGGUAAUGAUUAAGAGGGACAGACGGGGGCAUUCGUAUUGCGACGCUAGAGGUGAAAUUCUUGGACCGUCGCAAGACGAACUACUGCGAAAGCAUUUGCCAAGAAUGUUUCCAUUAAUCAAGAACGAAAGUUAGAGGUUCGAAGGCGAUCAGAUACCGCCCUAGUUCUAACCAUAAACGAUGCCAGCCAGCGAUCCGGCUGUGUUCCUCAAAUGACACGCCGGGCAGCUUYCGGGAAACCAAAGCCUUUGGGUUCCGGGGGAAGUAUGGUUGCAAAGCUGAAACUUAAAGGAAUUGACGGAAGGGCACCACCAGCAAUGGAGCCUGCGGCUUAAUUUGACUCAACACGGGAAAACUUACCCGGCCCGGACACAGGAAGGAUUGACAGAUUGAGAGCUCUUUCUUGAUUCUGUGGGUGGUGGUGCAUGGCCGUUYUUAGUUGKUGGAGCGAUUUGUCUGGUCAAUUCCGAUAACGAGCGAGACUCUAGCCUACUAAAUAGACGUUCCGAUCCUUCUCGUCGGA